AUGUGUAUCCCGAAGAAGAGAGGGAGCAUGGGUCUUAGAGAUCUACAAAGCUUUAAUCUUGCUAUGUUAGCAAAGCAGUGUUGGCGUCUAAUCCAGAACCCUGAUUCUUUGUGUGCAUGUGUGUUAAGUGCAAAGAAUUAUACUAAUGGAAACAUACUAUGCAGGUCCAAGAAGGGCUCUACAUUUACUUGGCAAAGUAUUGUUUCAGGGAUACAAACCUUUAAGCGGGGGUGCAUUUGGAGAGUUGGGAAUGGUUCAAAGAUGAUUAUUUGGCAAGAUCCUUGGAUAUGCUUCGGUGUUUCGGAAAGUAAUCAUUCCGCGGAGGAAAACUUUAUGGUCAAAGGUAGAAGACUUGGUUGA
Molecule: ribosomal RNA, 360 nt
Filed under: Triticum aestivum (bread wheat)
Lineage: Eukaryota; Viridiplantae; Streptophyta; Magnoliopsida; Poales; Poaceae
Description: partial small subunit ribosomal RNA
Source: RNAcentral